CCUUCUCCAUCCAUUUCGCCGUUAUCCAACAGGCCCAAGACGAUGCCAGUUUUAGGAGAGCAGUGUUACAGUCAGCAUGUCCAUGAACUCCGAGCCCACUUCUUGGGGUACAGCUUUUGGGUCACCUAGCAUGGAAUGGUCACGAGCCAGCACUCGAAGAAGAAAAAACAGUUACU
Long non-coding RNA from Dermochelys coriacea (leatherback sea turtle), 176 nucleotides. RefSeq lists it as uncharacterized. NCBI's taxonomy places the organism in Eukaryota, Metazoa, Chordata, Testudines, Dermochelyidae. The record is from RefSeq and is a predicted model, not a curated record. The transcript is spliced from 3 exons.